Molecule: ribosomal RNA, 505 nt
Filed under: uncultured bacterium
Lineage: Bacteria
Description: partial 16S ribosomal RNA
Rfam family: Bacterial small subunit ribosomal RNA
Source: RNAcentral
GACGAACGCUGGCGGCGUGCCUAAUACAUGCAAGUAGAACGCACAGUUUAUACCGUAGCUUGCUACACCAUAGACUGUGAGUUGCGAACGGGUGAGUAACGCGUAGGUAACCUGCCUGGUAGCGGGGGAUAACUAUUGGAAACGAUAGCUAAUACCGCAUAAUAUUAAUUAUUGCAUGAUAAUUAAUUGAAAGGUGCAAUUGCACCACUACCAGAUGGACCUGCGUUGUAUUAGCUAGUAGGUGAGGUAACGGCUCACCUAGGCGACGAUACAUAGCCGACCUGAGAGGGUGCUCGGCCACACUGGGACUGAGACACGGCCCAGACUCCUACGGGAGGCAGCAGUAGGGAAUCUUCGGCAAUGGACGAAAGUCUGACCGAGCAACGCCGCGUGAGUGAAGAAGGUUUUCGGAUCGUAAAGCUCUGUUGUAAGAGAAGAACGGGUGUGAGAGUGGAAAGUUCACACUGUGACGGUAUCUUACCAGAAAGGGACGGCUAACUACGUG